RNAcentral lists this ribosomal RNA (87 nucleotides) under Klebsiella aerogenes. RNAcentral also lists the same sequence under 3 other names. Lineage: Bacteria; Pseudomonadati; Pseudomonadota; Gammaproteobacteria; Enterobacterales; Enterobacteriaceae. The record is from RNAcentral.
CCUGGCGGCAAUAGCGCGGUGGUCCCACCUGACCCCAUGCCGAACUCAGAAGUGAAACGCCGUAGCGCCGAUGGUAGUGUGGGGUCU